This 398-nucleotide ribosomal RNA is filed under the name Rhyncogonus brevis. RNAcentral's name for it is "partial 16S ribosomal RNA". It matches the Rfam family "Archaeal large subunit ribosomal RNA", at positions 1946 to 2634 of the family's 2987-position model. Lineage: Eukaryota; Metazoa; Arthropoda; Insecta; Coleoptera; Curculionidae. The record is from RNAcentral.
GGCCUGCCCACUGAGGAUUUAAAUGGCCGCGGUAUUUUGACCGUGCAAAGGUAGCAUAAUAAUUAGUUUUUUAAUUGAAAGCUGGAAUGAAAGGUUGGAUGAGAAAGUAACUGUCUCUAUUUAGAUUGGUUAGAAUUUUAUUUUUAAGUAAAAAAGCUUAAAUAAAAAUAGAAGACGAGAAGACCCUAUAGAGUUUUAAUUUAGUUGGGGUGAUUGAAAAAUUUAAUAAACUUUUUUUAAAGAUGACCAUUGAUUUAUGAAUAGUUGAUCCUUUUUUAAAGAUUAAAAGAAAAAAUUACCUUAGGGAUAACAGCGUAAUUUUUUUAGAGAGUUCAAAUCGAAAAAAAAGAUUGCGACCUCGAUGUUGGAUUAAAAUUAAGUCUUGGUGUAGAAGCUAA